GACGAACCGUGCGAACGUUGUUCGGAUUCACUGGGCUUAAAGGGCGCGUAGGCGGGCUUGUAAGUCAGGGGUGAAAUCCUCCGGCUCAACCGGAGAACAGCCUUUGAUACUGCAAGUCUCGAGGGAGAUAGGGGUCUGCGGAACUUCCGGUGGAGCGGUGAAAUGCGUAGAUAUCGGAAGGAACGCCGGUGGCGAAAGCGGCGGACUGGAUCUCAUCUGACGCUGAGGCGCGAAAGCUAGGGGAGCGAACGGG
Molecule: ribosomal RNA, 253 nt
Filed under: uncultured bacterium
Lineage: Bacteria
Description: partial 16S ribosomal RNA
Rfam family: Bacterial small subunit ribosomal RNA
Source: RNAcentral